UACGUAGGGUGCAAGCGUUGUUCGGAAUUACUGGGCGUAAAGCGCGCGCAGGCGGUUCUUUAAGUCAGGGGUGAAAGCCCAGAGCUCAACUCUGGAAUUGCCUUUGAAACUAGAGAACUUGGGUACGGGAGAGGUGAGUGGAAUUCCGAGUGUAGAGGUGAAAUUCGUAGAUAUUCGGAAGAACACCAGUGGCGAAGGCGGCUCACUGGCCCGUUACCGACGCUCAGGCGCGACAGCGUGGGGAGCAAACAGG
This 253-nucleotide ribosomal RNA is filed under the name uncultured bacterium. Its description in RNAcentral is "partial 16S ribosomal RNA". It matches the Rfam family "Bacterial small subunit ribosomal RNA", at positions 524 to 776 of the family's 1533-position model. The record is from RNAcentral.